Long non-coding RNA from Nasonia vitripennis (jewel wasp), 2485 nucleotides. RefSeq lists it as uncharacterized. Lineage: Eukaryota; Metazoa; Arthropoda; Insecta; Hymenoptera; Pteromalidae. The record is from RefSeq and is a predicted model, not a curated record. The transcript is spliced from 4 exons.
UUGUACAAUAUUGCAAAUCGUUUCAAUGCUUAUUUUAUAUUAUUUAUUAUUUAUUUGGUUUCUUUAUUUCAAAAUUGAAAAAAAUUUGUACCUUUAACCAAUUAAAUAAACUUUGUCUUUUGAUAUUGAUUUUUUGGUUUUGAAGAUUCAAGAGAUGAUGUAAGUAAAAAAAUUGAAGCUGGAAGAGUUAAAUUUCCUAAGAUGGAUUGGGCUUCAGAAUCUACUUACGUGACUCCUGAAAGAAAUACAUUUUCGCUUGAGAGUAAUGAACAAGACGUAUCAAAUGCUAAUAAUAAGCCAGGAAUUUUCAGUAAUGGAAUCAUCAGCGAUGAAUCUCAAUCUGAUGGAGAAAAUGAAGAUGAUGACUAUGUAAUAUAAUUUUACAACAACAACAAAAAGUUAUAAUCAGAAACAAUUUUUACUGUUUCAAAUAGUUACUUAAGAUGCGGUUGGAGGUACAAACACAGUUUUUCAAUGAUGAUUGUUUUUUUUUUUAAAGAAACCUUCUAAUAAAAACCCAGCUCUGUACGUGCCUAGUGUUAAAUUUAAUGAAUCAUUCUACCAAAAGAAAAUAUAAAUCAGACUUUUUUUCUAAACUUGAGAAUUACGAAAUGCAAAAAGGGGCAGACCUCCAGCCGCCCCUUGACCGUGUACAUUAACAGUUAUUUGUUUUAAUUCUGUUUGUUAUUGCUAGCUAUUGUGGUCAUCUCCUGUUUGCUACCUUUAGUGUAUCUAUUCUCAUUAGAGAUUAUUGUAGUUUAGGAAUAAAUAUCUUCUCAUAAUAAACGUGUUACAAUCCCUAAUGAAAAAAAAAUUCUCACCAUUGGUCGCACGAUUUUUCAUGCGAUUAAUCGCGCGAAGGAAAAUAACGACUUAUCGGCAACUAUCAAACUUUUUUUGUCGUGAUUAGUGACGUGUUUCAUCGCACAGUAAGUCUCGUGACUAAUCGCGUAACUUGUAUGCAAUGCAUUUUCAAAUAAAAUAAAAUUGUUCUAAAUGCAAAAUUAGUAAGCUUGGUAGCAGAUUCAAAAGGUAUCAUCCGAAUGGUAAAACCUAUAUUGGCCACCACCCUUACAAAUUUCGUAUUUUGAACAAUUUUAUUUUAUUUGAAAAUUGAUUAGAGAUAAAUGGCGUGAUUGGUCACGUGACUAAUUGUGCUACUCAUCACAUAACUAAUCGCGUCGAAAAAGUUUGAUAAACUGAUGCAAUUAUUUGCGCGAUUGAUUAUGCAAAUAAUCGCGAAAUUAAUCGUGUGAUAUUUUAAUAGUGAUAGUGGGUCUAGUACACAGCUUACUAUAUUUCCUCGAUGCUAUUAAUUUUAUGAAGACAGGUGUUUUCUUAUUUCUUUUUUUAUUUUUUUAAUAAUUACAUCAUGUACCUCAAUAAUAAUUAUAAAAUAAAUUAGUUUGAAAGGAGCUAUAUACUAAUAAAGAAUUAGACAUUCUGUAUUUAAAUUUGGUUGUAAAUUCACCUUGAUCGACCCUUUAUGAUAUUAUUAAAUAGCAAACAACAAAAGUAACAAUUUCCUUAUAAUAAUAAUAAAAGUUAAAUUACGAUAAACCACAACAAAGUUCCCCUACGUAAUGUAAUUAUUUAUCAUUUCACCAAGUUUGAAGUUUUAUGUCAAUAUCACACAAAAUAAAUAUUAAAUUACAUGAUUUUGAGACAUUAAUCAAACUUUGUUCCAAGAUAUGGACAUAUAAACUUUAAAUUGUAUUAAAUGAGAGAUAGUUAAAAUACGUAAGGCAGCUAUUGGAUUCUGACACCGAGGCGAAAUAUAUAGAUAUUGCUCAUCAAGAUGACGUCACUAUCCCAGCGAUUAACAUGGAGUCAAAUGUAGCAGAUUUAGUUUUCUGUUAAAAAAAUAAUUUCUGUGUCAAGUAUUUGCGAUCGACAGUAACGUAUUGACAAAUGGCAAUAUUGUAUUGGUUAUAGUCAUCGCGUGAAAAGGUGCUGCAGGUGAAAAAUGUCUAUACAUCUACUACUAAAACGACAGAGGAUAACCACACUUUUUUCGAUACCUGGCUUGCAAAAACAUCAAAAUUUUUUACAAAAUCCAACAAAGAAUAAUUCAUUAUCUGACAAGAAUAAAUCAAUAAAAGAAAAAAUAGUUGAAGAUUAUAAGCUUAAAAAAUUGCUCUCAACGAGAAGCCUAUUAGCAGAGAAAAAAGGGAUAAAUUACAAAUCACAAUAGCAGCCAAUGGUGAUUCAAAUGGUGAUGAUGAUGAAACUCUUGCUAGCCACGAGCCUUCAAAUCUUUUGGAUGAAGAAGAGGAAGCAAAUAAAGAGAAUCAAGGUACUAUGACCGAAAAUUCAACUAAUGCGCAGAGUAAUAAAAGGAAACCAAACAUCCAUAAAGGAAGCCAAAGAAAUAUAAAAUAGCGGGAAAAAUUCGAGCUUAACAUAGGACAGAAGAGAUAUGAAAAGCUGGACGAAGACACGAUCUAUUUAGGAUUAGAUGUCUCAGUAGACAAAGAAAUAUGGA